GGACAGGCUUAACACAUGCAAGUCGAGGGGCAGCACCCGUAGCAAUACCGGGUGGCGACCGGCGCACGGGUGAGUAACGCGUAUGCAACUUGCCUAUCAGAGGGGGAUAACCCGGCGAAAGUCGGACUAAUACCGCAUGAAGCAGGGGCCCCGCAUGGGGAUAUUUGCUAAAGAUUCAUCGCUGAUAGAUAGGCAUGCGUUCCAUUAGGCAGUUGGCGGGGUAACGGCCCACCAAACCGACGAUGGAUAGGGGUUCUGAGAGGAAGGUCCCCCACAUUGGUACUGAGACACGGACCAAACUCCUACGGGAGGCAGCAGUGAGGAAUAUUGGUCAAUGGGCGCGAGCCUGAACCAGCCAAGUCGCGUGAGGGAUGAAGGUUCUAUGGAUCGUAAACCUCUUUUAUAAGGGAAUAAAGUGCGGGACGUGUCCCGUUUUGUAUGUACCUUAUGAAUAAGGAUCGGCUAACUCCGUGCCAGCAGCCGCGGUAAUACGGAGGAUCCGAGCGUUAUCCGGAUUUAUUGGGUUUAAAGGGUGCGUAGGCGGCCUUUUAAGUCAGCGGUGAAAGUCUGUGGCUCAACCAUAGAAUUGCCGUUGAAACUGGGGGGCUUGAGUAUGUUUGAGGCAGGCGGAAUGCGUGGUGUAGCGGUGAAAUGCUUAGAUAUCACGCAGAACCCCGAUUGCGAAGGCAGCCUGCCAAGCCAUGACUGACGCUGAUGCACGAAAGCGUGGGGAUCAAACAGGAUUAGAUACCCUGGUAGUCCACGCAGUAAACGAUGAUCACUAGCUGUUUGCGAUACAGUGUAAGCGGCACAGCGAAAGCGUUAAGUGAUCCACCUGGGGAGUACGCCGGCAACGGUGAAACUCAAAGGAAUUGACGGGGGCCCGCACAAGCGGAGGAACAUGUGGUUUAAUUCGAUGAUACGCGAGGAACCUUACCCGGGUUUGAACGCAUUCGGACCGAGGUGGAAACACCUUUUCUAGCAAUAGCCGUUUGCGAGGUGCUGCAUGGUUGUCGUCAGCUCGUGCCGUGAGGUGUCGGCUUAAGUGCCAUAACGAGCGCAACCCUUGCCACUAGUUACUAACAGGUUAGGCUGAGGACUCUGGUGGGACUGCCAGCGUAAGCUGCGAGGAAGGCGGGGAUGACGUCAAAUCAGCACGGCCCUUACAUCCGGGGCGACACACGUGUUACAAUGGCGUGGACAAAGGGAUGCCACCUGGCGACAGGGAGCGAAUCCCCAAACCACGUCUCAGUUCGGAUCGGAGUCUGCAACCCGACUCCGUGAAGCUGGAUUCGCUAGUAAUCGCGCAUCAGCCAUGGCGCGGUGAAUACGUUCCCGGGCCUUGUACACACCGCCCGUCAAGCCAUGGGAGCCGGGGGUACCUGAAGUCCGUAACCGCGAGGAUCGGCCUAGGGUAAAACUGGUGACUGGGGCUAA
Molecule: ribosomal RNA, 1437 nt
Filed under: uncultured organism
Description: SSU rRNA
Rfam family: Bacterial small subunit ribosomal RNA
Source: RNAcentral